Drosophila eugracilis is the source of this 3640-nucleotide long non-coding RNA. RefSeq lists it as uncharacterized. Lineage: Eukaryota; Metazoa; Arthropoda; Insecta; Diptera; Drosophilidae. The transcript has 3 exons. The record is from RefSeq and is a predicted model, not a curated record.
CAGCUGUUUUGUCACAUGGGUUUGUAUCUGUGCUAAUGCGUCAUGUGGACUCUGACGGUUAUAAUUUAAAUAGGCUUUUAAUUGUUAAGAGCUCCAAUUUAACGAAUCUAAUAUUUAAAUAUGAGAUUCAUAACUGUUGAUUAAUUGAAAGUACAAUAACAGCACAGCUGUUUAGCUGAUGAUUUGGUUUGAGUCCACGACAAAGCGAAAUCUGGUAUUUCAGAAAUACUGCAUUUCUCAAUGUUCACUUUGUGGUUUCAUUCUAUUUAUUAUUUAGUUAUAUUAUUUGUGGCAAGUUAGUAACAAUUUAUUAAAUUACUUUAAAUACGGAAGCUAAAUUUAUACAUAAAGCAGUAAAUAGAACACAGAAAUUAAGGCAAAUCACGUCAAUCGAGUUUUCCCCACAUGGCUUUCUGUCUGACAUUUUCCAGUAUUUUUUUGUAGUAUAUUCAGCAACGCGUUAUGGCAAUUUUAGUGCGGGUUCAGAGGUAUAUUUUAACGACGCGCCACGGUCACGCUGCUCAAAGUGAAACGGCCAAACGAAGAAGACGUAUCGUGUGUGCUCAGACUUGUGCUCUCAGAAUUUUGGUCAUCUACAUUCACCUCUCUGUUUGGAGUAAAACGAAAAAGAACAAACCACAAGUAAAUAACUUAAGGAAAUAUCAAAUACAAAGUGUACAAAAGCGGUUAAAAAAAAUUCUGAAUCUAAAAUAACAACAAGCAACAAAAACCAGCAAAGAGAGCAGCAUAAAGUUAACAGCGAAUUCAGCGGCAGUAGCAGAGCAGCGGAGCGCAAGUGCAAGCGAGACGGCAGCAAAGCUCCGCUGCAAGGCAACGGGAAAGAAAGGGACAGCGCAGACCAACGAAGAGAGCAGGGGCAAAAGUGAGAUUCGGAGAGCAAACAGCAGCGGCGGCGGCGACAGCAACAAAGCCACAUACGAGAGCUACAGCUGGGGAGAGAACUACGACGACCUACUACACAUAAAAAGCUUUGUAGCUCACUUUCAUUGAAACCACAAAGAAAUAUUGAGAGAGUGUGACGACUUAACAGUAACGAAGGCUGUUAAUAACAUUGCAGCGGUGCGUAAAAAAUCCAAUAAACAAUAACCAAAAAACGAGAGUUGCUAAAAACCAAACAAUGUCUGCAUUUUUCAAUACUUUCGAGUGUGUUUUGUGGGCGGGCUGACGUCACGAGGGGCUGCUGCUUAUUCUCUUAGUUACUUUUGAUGGGCUAAAGCUGUGAAAGAAAAUCAUAGUAAAAUCGUUUUUUCGCAAGCAUUUAUGUAAAUAUAUUCAUAUAUAUUUAUUACAACACUGCACGAAAUCAACGGUUUACAGCGGGAUCGCUUUUCAUAUUUCCCCACUGUGUCCCUCUUUCGGCUGCCCUGACGGUAAAUUUUCCUUUGUCCUUUGGCAUUACAAUUCGCCAUUCGGCAUUAACAUGCUGUUAGAAAGUGCUAACAGCAAUGAAGCGACAGGGACAGUCAGAGAGUGGGCGCAAAAGAGGGAGCGAGUCAGCGGCUGAGUGUUCAAGUAAAUCGUAAAAUAUUUUUAUAACAAAUACCACUGCUUCGGACCGCGCUGGCGGCAGACUGAACCGCGUUGUCACACAUUCAAAAUUUCAACGAACUUCGCUUUGCUGCCGACGUCGACGUCUCCAUGCUAAACUAAAUAAAGCGAGUUGAUUUCGAAUUCGCCGCGCGCUCAGUUGUCGCUUUGUCGCCCGUCCGUUAGCUCUUGCUCUCAUUUGGGGGAAUAUUUUCAAUGAUUUUUCUUUGAAAAGAAGUUUCUAGCAGUUGUAGUUGUAGUCACCCGUAGGCUUAGAUUGUAUUUUUUUUAUUUCGCUCCUCGUUCGUAAAUGUUAGUCCAUUAGAUAUUUUAUCAUUUUAUUGGGGCCUUAAUCUGUUGGAAUUCGCAUAUGUAUUUAAGCAUUUUUUCAUUUAUAGUUUUACAAAAAUUGUGGUUUUUGCUGAACUUACCAUUGCGAUUAUGACAGGUUUCUAGAAUAUUAAACUUUCGGUGGUUUUUAUACGAUUUCUUCAAGAUAUCCAACAAUUUACAUACAUAUGAAUGUAUUUACUAUCGGUUAUUUUUGUAAAAGCAAAAUUUAUGUGAUAUUUUUAAUACCGACAUAUGUAUGAAUGUCAAUAUUCACAACUGUAUUUGUUUAAAAAUGAACGAUGAAAUGAAAAAGUUGCAAUAAUUGUUAUUGAAAGGGUAUAAACUAGAAUGAUCAAAUGAAAUGGAAUUAUUUAAAUUUAUAUACAUAUGUACAUACAUACAAUGAAGAUAAAUUGUACGUAUUCAUUUAAUUCCCUUUUUCAGAACUUCUUAUUACAAUUAAACAUUUUUAGAUCACAAUGGUGAUUCUGUUAUUCGUUUUCCCCACUAUCUUAUCUUUGUUUAUUGGAUUUUUUCACAUGUUUGUGGGGUCAAAAUGACUGUAUUUUUCAAUGCUUAAUUUGCUUCCGUUUUAGACGUGCUCGCUCACGCACACUUUUAUGCUUUUUGUGAGUGCGAGAUUGUGUGUGUGUGUGUGUGUAUGUAUGUAAAUGCCUUAUACUUGUGUCAAUUUUCCUAGUGAUGUAAUAGAUUUUUUUUAGGUGCGGCUUCUUUUUCCGCCUUCGUUCGCUCUGCCAUAUUCCUCACUUUUCAUGCUCUUUAUUAUUAUAUUUUUUUUAGCUUGCCAACGAGGUCAGACUGGCAAUCAUACACAUGCACGUGCAUUAUGAGCGCACAUACAUACAUAUCUACACACGUACACAAAUACACACACACAAUCCUAAAUAAAUCGCAGUUUGCAGUUCUCCUCUGCCCCUCUUUCUCUCUUGUUGACCGUGCUUCGCAUCGUCUCCCUUUUAGAUGUACAUUGUAUAUACAUAUGUACAUACUUGUGUACGUUUGUGUGUAAGCCCUACCUGUCAACGAUCGUUGUUUUUGUUACUGUUAAAUGCAUCUGUUACACUCUUUUUCUUUAAAACGUUACUUCCGGCUUGAUCUGCUCUUCUCUCUCUCCUCUUUUUUCUCUCCCUCGACACUUUCUGCAUAAAUCAGAUGCCCGCAUUUUGUUGUUAUCGCUAAAUUCUAUGGCAUUUUCAUCUGUAUGUGUGUGUUGAUUUGAGUAUAAAUAUAUGUGUGUAGUACAUACAUAACUGUUUGUAGUAUUACUAAGCCUUGUUUUGUUUUCACGCCCUUUUUUUUAUUAAAUUAUCUGAAGAAUGUGCGGCGAUCCGAAGACUUUGAUGCCGUUACCCCUAUAAACGAUAGUUAUAUGUACAUACAUAUGUACAUAACGUACAUCAUGUCAUCUUUGGCCUGAUUUGAACCCAUUUUAAUCCAUACAUUUUAAAGCUGUUCUAAAACCACACUGUAAAGAGCAAGAAUACUCUUUCUUUGUCCGAGGUCGGUUUUUUAAUGUAGAGCAGAAAACAUGGCUUUUCCUUUUUCCCCUUUAUUUUUCAGCCAAUAAUAAUACGCAAAUGAUUGAGGUAACUUUGUUAGUGCUUGCUUCCUUUGUCUUUAAAUUAAGCCCAUUAAAAUUAAUUAAGAUAUUGACCCACUUCGCGCUGGCAGCCGUCGGAAAAAUGCACAACACAAAUACACACACAUGUGUGUAUGUACGUAAAAAAAAUUUUUUUGU